CCUACGGGUGGCUGCAGUGGGGAAUAUUGGACAAUGGGCGAAAGCCUGAUCCAGCCAUGCCGCGUGUGUGAAGAAGGCCUUCGGGUUGUAAAGCACUUUCAGUGGGGAAGAAAGCCUUGGGGCUAAUACCCUCGAGGAAGGACAUCACCCACAGAAGAAGCACCGGCUAACUCCGUGCCAGCAGCCGCGGUAAUACGGAGGGUGCGAGCGUUAAUCGGAAUUACUGGGCGUAAAGCGCGCGUAGGCGGUCUGAUAAGCCGGUUGUGAAAGCCCCGGGCUCAACCUGGGAACGGCAUCCGGAACUGGCAGGCUAGAGUGCAGGAGAGGAAGGUAGAAUUCCCGGUGUAGCGGUGCAAUGCGUAGAGAUCGGGAGGAAUACCAGUGGCGAAGGCGGCCUUCUGGACUGACACUGACGCUGAGGUGCGAAAGCGUGGGUAGCAAACAGGAUUAGAUACCCCAGUAGUC
RNAcentral lists this ribosomal RNA (465 nucleotides) under Vreelandella stevensii. RNAcentral's name for it is "partial 16S ribosomal RNA". It matches the Rfam family "Bacterial small subunit ribosomal RNA", at positions 338 to 795 of the family's 1533-position model. Lineage: Bacteria; Pseudomonadati; Pseudomonadota; Gammaproteobacteria; Oceanospirillales; Halomonadaceae. The record is from RNAcentral.